This 70-nucleotide transfer RNA is filed under the name Loxodonta africana (African savanna elephant). It matches the Rfam family "tRNA". From Rfam's summary of the family: Transfer RNA (tRNA) molecules are approximately 80 nucleotides in length. Their secondary structure includes four short double-helical elements and three loops (D, anti-codon, and T loops). Further hydrogen bonds mediate the characteristic L-shaped molecular structure. tRNAs have two regions of fundamental functional importance: the anti-codon, which is responsible for specific mRNA codon recognition, and the 3' end, to which the tRNAs corresponding amino acid is attached (by aminoacyl-tRNA synthetases). tRNAs cope with the degeneracy of the genetic code in two manners: having more than one tRNA (with a specific anti-codon) for a particular amino acid; and 'wobble' base-pairing, i.e. permitting non-standard base-pairing at the 3rd anti-codon position. The record is from Rfam by way of RNAcentral. Lineage: Eukaryota; Metazoa; Chordata; Mammalia; Proboscidea; Elephantidae.
GUUCAGCUGGUUCAGUAGUAGAAUUCUUGCCUUCCAUGCAGAAGACUUGGUUUGAUUCCAAGGCAAAGCU